RNAcentral lists this ribosomal RNA (560 nucleotides) under uncultured bacterium. Its description in RNAcentral is "bacterial SSU rRNA". It matches the Rfam family "Bacterial small subunit ribosomal RNA", at positions 8 to 552 of the family's 1533-position model. The record is from RNAcentral.
AGAGUUUGAUCUUGGCUCAGGACGAACGCUGGCGGCGUGCCUAACACAUGCAAGUCGAACGGAGAUACUUUUGAAGCUUGCGAUAAAGUAUCUUAGUGGCGGACGGGUGAGUAACGCGUGGGUAAUCUGCCCAUAAGUGGGGAACAACAGUUGGAAACGACUGCUAAUACCGCAUAAUCUGCCUUAGGGUAGGAAAGGUGGCCUCUUAACAAUGCUGCCGCUUAUGGAUGAGCCCGCGUCUGAUUAGCUAGUUGGUGGGGUAAAGGCCUACCAAGGCGACGAUCAGUAGCCGGCCUGAGAGGGUGAACGGCCACACUGGGACUGAGACACGGCCCAGACUCCUACGGGAGGCAGCAGUGGGGAAUAUUGCGCAAUGGGGGAAACCCUGACGCAGCGACGCCGCGUGAGCGAAGAAGGCCUUAGGGUUGUAAAGCUCUGUUUUAGGGGACGAAUGUUCAUAGGAGUAAUAUGCCUGUGAAAUGACGGUACCCUAAGAAGCCCCGGCUAACUACGUGCCAGCAGCCGCGGUAAUACGUAGGGGGCAAGCGUUAUCCGGAAUU